AACGUAGGACGCAAGCGUUAUCCGGAGUUACUGGGCGUAAAGGGCGCGUAGGCUGUGCUGUAAGUCAGGCGUGAAAGGCCCGGGCUCAACCUGGGAACUGCGUUUGAUACUGCGGCGCUGGAAUGCAGGAGAGGAUGGCGGAAUUCCCAGUGUAGAGGUGAAAUUCGUAGAUAUUGGGAAGAACACCGGUGGCGAAGGCGGCCAUCUGGCCUGCAAUUGACGCUGAGGCGCGAAAGCGUGGGGAGCAAACAGG
RNAcentral lists this ribosomal RNA (253 nucleotides) under uncultured bacterium. RNAcentral's name for it is "partial 16S ribosomal RNA". It matches the Rfam family "Bacterial small subunit ribosomal RNA", at positions 524 to 776 of the family's 1533-position model. The record is from RNAcentral.